Molecule: long non-coding RNA, 2014 nt
Organism: Pyrus x bretschneideri (Chinese white pear)
Lineage: Eukaryota; Viridiplantae; Streptophyta; Magnoliopsida; Rosales; Rosaceae
Exons: 10
Source: RefSeq, a predicted model, not a curated record
GAUUAGUUCGUUUUGGGCUGUGUUUGCUUGGGCUUACCUCAAUUGUUGAUGAGGCCAGCCCUUUGGGUGUUCAAAUGAUGGGAAUGCCCAUCUAGGGUUAGGAUCGGACGGCCCGGAUUAAAAGUUUGGAGGAUACUUUUGUCAUCUUAAUUGUCAGAACUGAUUGGGAUCGAUGGUGAGGGGAUUGUAGGGCGGACGGGAGGCCAUUAUCAGUUUCUGCUACUCUCCGCAAACCCAAAUUUCUUCGUAUCGUUCCAGUAUUCAACGACAAACCCAGAUCCCUAAACGCAAAUUUCUUCAUUUUUUCCCUCCUCCCGUUCCUGUAGGAGCAUCAGAUGUAUCCAGAUGAGCAGAUCCUCAAGUCCAAGAUCGAGCUCCUUAACAUGACCAGCACGGUCGACUACGCCAUGGACAUCCACAAGUCCCUCCAUCACACGAAGGUUUUCCCCAAGGCGAUUAAUUUCCAUAUUGGGUUUCCAUUUUUCUUCAUUUCUGGAAUUUGGGUUUUAAUUUCAGUAAUUUAUUUCUAUUAAUUUUAGUUCUGUUUUUAGUAAAUGUUGUUCCCCUUUCCUUUUCCUCUUUUUCUCUCCCCUCUCUCUGUAACCAUCCAUCAAAUUCCCUCAUCCCUCCCUUUUCUCACUUUGUAAUUUCCCUAAAAUCCCUCACCGAUUCUCUCUCGCCAGUCUUAGUCUCGCUAGCCGCGAGGUGUUCGAGGUCGAUGAGGCGAUUGCUAUGGAGUCGCAGACCAUCAAGCAGAUGGUGGAAGAUGACUACGCCAAUAAUGCGAUACCUCUCCCCAAUGUGACCAACCACAUCGUCACCAAGGUCAUCGAGUACGGCCGGAAGCAUGUCGAACGUCGAGGCGGCGAUAACACCGACGUCGGCAAGAGCGGCGAUUAGACUAUCAAGAAGUUUGUCGGACUUCAUCAACGAGAUCAAAGCUGAUCAGAAUGUUCUCUUUGAUCUGGUCUUGGAUCGCAGGGCUGAAAGAGAACAUGGACGUUUACCGCGUGAUGCUGGAAGGAUGGACAAAUGUGUGAUUGAAUCAGGUGAUAGUAGCGGGAAUGAGAGUAGUGCCUAAACAAACAUGUCAUUAUGGGGAAAGCAAGAAGUUGAAGAAGAGCAUUAGCCCCUCACCAGCCACCAGUUCAAGGUGAUGCAGUUUAAUCGAAUCAGGUUGAAUUGAAUAAUCCUUGAAGUGACAAGAAGAAGCCGACUAAGCCAAGUUUGCCUCAAGCCGGCGAAGGAAUCAGGGGAACGGAGCUCAGGCUAUCAGAGUGUUAUCAAGUUCUAUUUUCUAAUUUUCUGAUUUUGAGGUGGAGGGAGAGCUAAUGUAGUAAUGUUCAGAAGUUACUGUUUCUGUUAAUGCGGAUGACGGAAAUCGACCCAAGUUCAAACUGAAACAGUAUGAUUAUUUUGGUUAUGAUACAACUGAAGUGGAGAAGGAUAGCUCAGUGGCUUCCUAAGGUGCAAUGCUACUUCAAAAUGCUUUAGUUCAGAAGCCGGCAGAAUCAAUUUUCAAUCUUGGGCCAAGAAAGAAAUCAUUAUCUGAUAUUGCGAACUUACUGGUGAAUGCAGACGCUGCAAAACCCGGCUCAAAGAACUGUAGAUGCUGAAGACAAAAAAGAAGCAAAGGAUGCAUUGCAAGCAUAAGCUUCUUGGCAUUUUUCUGGGAGUUUUAGGCUUUCAGUUGCGAGCGUAUCAGAAAAUAAUCCCAAAAAUUGAAGGUGGUAGUGAAAUUGGAUUUACAUAAUGACAAAGAAAAGAAAAAGGCCUUGAAAGCAGUCUCCAGCCUUACAGUGGGUUGAAGAUCUGAUUCAAGGUUCUUUCCCUAUCAUUUCAAUCUAGAUUAGCUGGUGAGUGACAUGCCCUUUGUACUGGUGUGGUAUCAUUGGUGCUCACUUUGUAUUACUGCUUUUGUAACGUUUGGAUGUCUCAAGAUAAGUGCUUAUAAGAGGUAAACUGUCAAUUUUACAAAGUUUUCUGGUAAAUUAGAUAUAUAGUUUAAUUCGAA